UCUUUCCGUCGCCUCCCGAUCCCAGCCGCCAGGAGGCGCGAUCCCGCGCCGUGCUCGAUACGGUGCCGCGCCGGCCGCCGGCUGACGACGGCGAUUGCAGCGCCCUUCGCCACUGUUUCGCUUCAACUCCUCUCCUCCGCGUGCCCGAGCUCCUCGCUGUGUGCCGCCCGGGAGCGCUCGCAUUCAAUGCAGAACAUCGGGGGACGGAACUUGCAGGACCCAGAUCCAUGCGUGGCGAUGGGGAGGUCGUCGGUGACGCGUAUGAAGGACGGAGUGCGGCUUCCCGGGCGGAUCCAUGGCGGCCCCUGGGCAGAAAGGAGAUAUGAGGUGAGGGAGAAAGAACGGACGGUGCGACGAUCUCGGCAGGAACUCGCCGAAGCCAGGCGACGGUAGACAGGCGCGGGAGAAAGAGGGAUCCGGCGCGGCGGGGCGAAGUCCUUGCAGGUGGAUGCAUGUUGGCUUCCUCCGGCUGUCACCGACGUGCACUGACAGGUGAGGAACAAAGAAACCUGGUGAGUAUUUGAGGUGCCUUCUUUAGUUUCAGAAUUGUCUAACCCUCUAGGUACAUAUUAGUAGGAUGGAAAAUACUUCUGCACAACAUGGCCUUGAAAUACAGAAAUAGAUUAUGUCUUUUGUUAGACUAGAUUGUUGCCUAUGUUAUGUUGUUUGCAGGCUAUAAUUGUUCACGGAGCCAUGCAAUUGGAGCUGAGGAAAUUAUCUGCAUGGAAUGUAAACAAGUGUUGAGCCAGUACAGAGGGACGAUCCUCAAUUUGUUAAUUGCAGAGGCCCACAUAAAGUAAGGUCGAUAUGUGUUUAUUUGAUGGUACUCACGCUGUCAGGAUUGAAUCUGUUGUCGGUAAAGAAAAUGUUGGCUCGGAUGUUAUGGGCACAACCGGUGAGAUGGUUGUUGUGUGGAUAGAGAAUCAGCUCCAUGAAAACAAAACAAAGGAGCUGAUAUUGCAAUAGGUUAACCAGCUGCGUGAGCGUCUACGGAGCCCAAACAGGGAGUCAACAGUCAGCUGCUGUCAGAUCUCGAAAAUGCGGGUUCUUUUAUGACCACCAUGGAUCCCUCACCCCAAGUCAUGAUCCAGUUGCUGAAUGUCCACAAGAAAAUUUAUGUAUUAAAGGGACCUCAUUCCCCAAGCUACUCGACGAAAAAUAAAAUGUAUGCAUGCGCCAAUGAAUUCCAAAAAUUAAUCCUCAUGUGUGUCCAAAUAUUUUGUCUGAGAAGUCCGAAUGUUCAGUGUUGGAAAAGUAUACCUCCCGCUGAUAGAACAAGGGAAAGAUCAUUUCGUUGAUGGCGAGUUCACACUGAUGCUGAUCACCGGCGCGCGUUGGCAGUGUCAUGCUGCUUGGUCGGCACUGCAACUACACAGCUAAACAGGAGAUGAUAGCGUCUCAAACUGGACUUUUUGAUCAUUUGAUAAACGUUUGGAAAUUCAAGCGUGGUCCUCUUCUGCAACAUGUGACCUAUUACUUCUUAAUUUAUGGACUUUAAGUUUUAGUCAUCCCUAUAUCGUCAGGGAAAUUUGUGGUGAUUUGUAAUCAAACUUGCAAAGAACAUCCUUACUUCUGAUUAUGUUUGAAGAGGUAUGAUGGAUGGUUGAUCUAAGAC
This is a long non-coding RNA of Triticum dicoccoides, 1615 nucleotides long. RefSeq lists it as uncharacterized. NCBI's taxonomy places the organism in Eukaryota, Viridiplantae, Streptophyta, Magnoliopsida, Poales, Poaceae. The transcript has 7 exons. The record is from RefSeq and is a predicted model, not a curated record.